GUUGGAAAGCUAACUCAAAGAGCUACAACUUUUAUUUAGAUAUCAUUUUCCGAAUCGAAUGUUUCCUAUGUCGAAAAUGGGUCUCAAAUGAGACUAAAAAUCUGAAUUAUACUUUAGUCAUCUAAUAUUCAUAUCUUAGUGCCACUAAGGUGUCUAGAAUUAUUUGGGGUUCUACAUCCCCCACACCUUAAUUAAAAUUUCGUCCUCGAAAUUUACCUUCUGAUUGGGCGAAUAGUGUUGGAUACUUGUCUUUGGCUUUUUCUUCAUUUUCCCAAGUGGCUUCUUCUACGCCGUGAUGAUUCCACUGUAUUUUAACCAAUUGAAUCUCUUUAUUCCUUAGUUUACGCACUUUUCGAUCCAAUAUCUUGAUCGGUAGUUCCUCGUACGACAAAUAUUUCUGUACCUCCAAAGUUUGAUAACUCACUACAUGAUUAGGAUCAUGUACAUACUUCUUUAUCAUCGAUAUAUGGAAUACACUGUCGAUAAUUCAGGUGGCAAAGCUAGUCGGUAAGCCACAUUUCCGACUCUAUCAAGUAUCUCGAAAGGUCCGAUAUACCGGGGUCGUAGCUUGCCUUUCUUUCCAAAUCUAAGUACACAUUUCAUCGGUGUUACUUUCAGAAACACUUUAUCCCCAACUUGGAAUUCUAAAUCCUUCCUCCUUGUAUCUGUAUAGCUCUUUUGUCGAUCCUGUGCUGCCUUUAUUCUUGCACGGAUCUUAUCGAUUACCUUGACCGCCCUUUCAACCAUUUCUGGUCCCAAAACUCUCUUCUGUCCGACUUCAUUCCAAUGAACAGGGGAUCUACAUCUUCUACCAUAGAGAGCUUCGUAUGGUGCCAUUCCAAUAGUUGCUUGGAAACUGUUAUUAUAAGCGAACUCUACUAGAGGUAAGCAUGACUCCCAAUUACCUCCUAAAUCCAAAACACAUGUUCUCAGCAUGUCUUCCAAAAUUUGGAUGGUCCUUUUAGAUUGACCAUCGGACUGAGGAUGAUAUGUUGUACUAAAGUUCAGCUUCGUUUCCAUGGCUCCUUGUAGACUUUUCCAAAAUUUGGACGUGAACCUUGGGUCUCUGUCAGACACAAUGGAUACAAGUACACCGUGUAAUCUCACAACCUCUUU
RNAcentral lists this long non-coding RNA (1116 nucleotides) under Olea europaea subsp. europaea. Lineage: Eukaryota; Viridiplantae; Streptophyta; Magnoliopsida; Lamiales; Oleaceae. The record is from RNAcentral.